GCAGAGGAGGGUUGCAAGAGAAGAAGUUGUGUGUAUGGAGGAUCGUUAGCAGCGGUGGGAUAACUGUAUACCUAGCAUUGCCCAACAGGAAAUUCUUUAUAGCAUUUAUGUUGCAUGACUCGGCCCAGCGCAAUUACGUGCAUAGCAUCUCCAAAUAGGUACAUUUUCAUCCCACGACUCGCGCUUUAUCAAAAUACCGACCUCGCGGCGGGACUGAGCCGAAGCCCGGCAGACGACGGUGGUGGCGCGGGCAGGGCGGGCAGCCUGCACCUUGGCGCUACAUUAAAGGAACACGGGGGCAGCAAAAUCCUUUGCUUAGCGCUCUGUCGUUCCAUUUAAUGGCAGCCCUGGGCACGAACAAAAUCUAAUACAUGUAGCGAGAUAAGCACAUUAUGCGACAAAGCCAUUGGUUGCCGAACAAAGUGCAAGCGAUGUAGGAGGGACCGACGAAGAGCGUUGCUCACCACUGGGCACGCAUCGCGACGGCCAUAGUUGCUGAGAUGGGAUUACUCGGUCACAGGGUGCUAGCGCUUCUGGGACAGCUUGCUGUGAGCAUGCCCCGCAUCUUUGAUCCCAGGGAGCGUCCUGAGGGCCCUACUUGUACGGGUUACGGCAGCCACAACAUUGACCAGGAGCAAGAGAUAUACACAAUGCAUGUCUUCCUAUGGUAUUGUGAAUGUCCUGAAGUUUGGCAGAGUGGAUAAUGGAUUGGUCAAUGGGUGUGAAUGUUAGUAGUCUAUGAUGUUGGACGUUGUGGUACAUUUAUUGAUUAUUAAAGUCUAAUUCAAAGGUUAUACUAUUGCAGCGUUGAGAUCUUAUAAAAAAAAGUGCCUAUCUUUUUCACAAAACGAUGUCGUCAGGAUCAGUACAGUUGUUUGGCGACGGAUUGAGCAUGCCGAAUUUGAAAGGAUCACCGAACGGGUUAAGCUUAGGUGGUUAUAGUAAUACGACGAAUUCAACAAGCCCAACCUUAAUUCCGUUGGGCAUUAUCCCGGAAAAGGCUUCGUUUGCACACCAAAUUCGCCGCACUGUUCCUGCUCAGUAUUGGGGCGUAUCACAAGCGUCUGCGUCGGUACCAGAUGGUGCUUUGGCCUCGUCCGUGUCAGAUCCCGUGCCGCUGCCACUGCUGGCAGGCUCCGGCCUGUCCCGCCCGCAACUUGUCUUGGCAACCCAAGCGGUGAAGCUACCGGGGCGGCCUUCGCUUCCUGGAUUGCCGUCAGUCUGCCAUAGUCAAGGUGGCGUGGUGAGGGUUAACAGGCUUCUACAGGCAUGGGCGAAUACCCCAGUUUGAAUGUAAUGCACUGGUUACCUCCUCCCCGACCAUCAUGCUCUUACAACAAAUUGCGUACAUAAACCCCUAGACAUUCGCAUCAUUGGUCUUGCUGGAGCGCAACUUGACACCUCCAUGAACACGGCUUCUUUCCCCUAGAAAGCCGUGCUGCCUGGGCCAGAGGGCCAAAAAAGUGCGUGUAUCCAUGGGUAACCCUUGCCCGCAGUCCCGCGUUUUCACUCUAAUGCCUGUUAUAUCGAAUCCUACAGCCCUGUCACAGACAUGUGAAAACCACGUUACCUCUUCUCCACACGUUCUAUCCAACGGCCCCCACCCGCGCCCCCGCCACCUGUCCAUCCUUUCAUUUUCUGCCCUCAACUGCCACAACUCCUCCCCACCUGACGCACCUCGCCAGGUCCUAGAUAGGAUCCUCGCCCACGACAGUGGCGACUCAUGGUGGGCCGCGGUCAGCGGUCGUGCGCGGCUCGGCCGGCUGGUGGCACAGCGGGCGGACCUGGUAAGCCCCCCUCCCAACUGCCACGGGUCGUAGCCCAUGUGUACAAGCUCCUGUCAGCCCGUGCCUCAUGGCCGUUGUGUCGUUGACCAGCCAUGAGGUCCUGAGAGCUAACUGGGCCGAUGGGCGGUGCGGUGCACAUCCCCGAUGCGCACGAUGGGUGCUUGGCGUUGCUCAGCCCGGUGUGUGUGCGGGCCGCCUGGGGCAUGCUCUGACGCCCGCCACCUGACUAUAACCCUCCAGCGGGGAAGGCACUCGGGCUGGUAGCCUCGUUCGGUUCUACAGCCCACCCGCGCCGCCUGCGUGGGGUGUGGCCACGUCUCCAAUUUAUUGGCUCUUUUGAGUUCGGCAUCCCUUUGCACGCCCCCGGCUGCAGGUGGCUGCAGUGGCUGACCCGGCCAGCUACAGUCUGUGCGCGACGUCGCGGGUGCAACUAAACAGGUGCGGGUUGAUCAAAAGUUGGGAAUUAGGGGAAAAACGCAAAGGUGAGGUGAUUACUGAAAGCGGGAACCCACGGAGCCACGCGGAGCAUAGUGUUGCAUUCGGCAGCUGUUGCUACCUCCCCCCUUCACCAGAGCCAGUUGGUGCUUGUACUUCGGCAGGAAUAUAUAUAAAACACCUGACCUAAAACGAGGGGUGGGUGCGGACUCCUGCACAUAUUCCUGCACUUCCCACUGCUGCCCCCUUCCCCCCGUUCAGGAGCACCGUCUUGCGCUCUCGGCUGGACUGUUGCCCGCCCACCUCCACCGCCUCGACUUCGACAUCCAGGGCUGCCCUCGUGACCGCCGCUGGUAGCGCGGCGGCCGCGCAGCGGCAACCGCAGCAGCCGCAGCCUGCGGGGGCGGGCUGGGCGGCCGCGCCGCCGCUGUCUGUGUCCUCCCAGCUGCAGUCCCGUGUGGGCCGGUGGGCGGAGGUGCGGGCUGACCUGGCCAUCUUCCAACGCACUGGCGGGGGCUGGGCUGAGCGCAACAGCGCGAGCAGCGGUUCGACGGCGGCGGCGGCCGUGGAGCUGGGGCAGUCGGCUCAGGCUACGGCUGUUGGAGCGGUGACGCCGUUGCUGCUGGGGCUCCAGGCGGGCUCGGUGACCACGUCGGGGGCGCCACUGGUGUGGCGGUGCGGUGUGCUGCAGGUUAGUUGGGGUUGGUUGGUCACACAUCUACGGUGGGUUGAAGAUCCCGGGGGAAGUGGAAAGUGCUGAGGCUCCUGACAGCGGUGUCUGGAUUGUCGCCAGGGCCGGGGCCGGGGGUUGGGGGCUGGUUGUUGCGGCGAAGGACAAGAUGAGGGCAUAAGGGAUGAAUUCCGCGGGCAUCGGGGUGUGUUUUGCGGUUUCUAGGGGACCUUUCCAGGGACUUUUGUCUGGAGGUGGGGUCUGCUCAUCACGCCCUUGCAGCUGAUUCUGUCCCCGCACGGUUGCGGUAUGGGACGGGAUGCCGGCCGCAGGUGACUGCGCCGCCGACAUGGCCGCUGGCGGGCGGGGCUGAUGCACCGACAGACGUGGCCGGGCCUGCGCUAAAGAGCGGCGUGUACGUCCAGGUGAAAGUUUUCGUACACGAUCCUCUCUUUACUGUGCGUCCUUUAUUCAUGGCGAAUCCUGGGAGGCACCCAUGCGGUCUGCAUGACGUCAUGGACUAGCAGGACCGAGUGCUCUUAAGCCCUGGUGGCUGUCGGCGCCCUAGCCGUACUUUUACGAUGCUUAUGUAUGGCCUGCCAAUCCCUAUACGGUCGGUUACAUUCAUGUUGUCGUACCGCCGUACCUAUGCACAGGGUACCAUAGCACUGCAGGGGGAGCGCGUCCUGUGGCAGGGACCCACGCGGCCGCCACGCCGGCGCAGCCGUACAGAAGCCGUGCAGAGUGGCGGUACGACAGUCCAGCAGCAGACCGUGGCGACGGUCGACGGGGCCGGGCACGCUACCACCGCCAUGGCCGCACCCCCCUCGGUUGCGGCAGCUGCGGCACCGCAGGCGAUAGGGUCGUACACUCCCUCCACGAGAAGAGCUACUGCCAGCGUCUACCCGCUUUCCAGCAACGGCGGCGAUGAGGAGGACGAUGAUGAGGAGGAGGACGGCGGCGUCCUCGCGUCCCCCACAACUGGCGCGUCCAGCGUCUCAGGCGGAAAGGCGAUCCGGCCACCUAAUCGCGUGCUCGCUGCGGGGCCGGCGGGUAGCGGAGGCGCCGCCGCCGGUGGAGCCGGCGGCGGCAGCGGCGGGGCCUCCGGCAGCAGCGCAGGCGCCGCCCCCGCUGGCGCCGCAGCGCCGCCGUUCGGGAUCGAGCUGCCGUCCGCGGUUGCUUUACAGGACGCCCUCAUGGACGUCACUCAGUCGUUUAGUCGACUACGGGAUGACGUCACGGCGGCGACUAAGUGGGUCGGCAGCGGUGGGCUGGUGGAGCAGCUGACGGCGACGGCGGCGACGGCGCCAGGCGCGGCAGCUAAGCAGCGACAGGCCGCCGCUGCGGCACCACCCCACGGAACAGGUACACAGGCGGGUGGGUAGGGCUCCAGUGAAUACGCCAUGCGGUGGUGAUGAAAGGGGGACACUUUGUGGAUCGAACAAUUAGGCUGGAGACAGCGGCGACGCAGCGUGUGCACACCCCUGCUGUGCUUCUCUGCGUGCCAGGGUGUAUGGAAAACACCGUGGCCAUUCGCCCAUUUUACACUUUCAAUGUACGGACAUGGGGGAGUAUUUGCCGCGUCGUUCUCCUGCAUGUGUUUCCCGUCGCCCUGAUGUUUAACUGUUCCCCUCCCUUGGCGCGGUUCCGCUGUCGUGCCAUCUGCUCCAUCUGCGUGGCUGGCCUCGGGGCAUCGUUCGGAUGCUGGAUGGCGGUACGGCAACCCGCCGAUUAACUGCGGGUAGACGACGUCCCAGUGGCGCCGGUUCCCUGGAGUUCCUUCGUGGGGAAGCCCCACGUGAAGGUGGCGGGCGUGGCAGGUAUCACCGCACGUGCCCCCGUCAUCGUGCUGACCCACGGGUCAGUCGCGCCAGGCGGCAGCAGCGCCACCGCAGCCUUCCGGCCUACCCGGCUCGCCUGGUUGCAAGACCUGGGGCUGUCGCACUUGUUGCGCUGUGGACGCGGACGCGGACAGGGAGGCGGGUUGGAUGGGGACGACGCGGCCGCUCAUGCCGCACGCGGCGCGCUGCGUCCGUUCGCCAGCGCCGCAGCCAGUGUUCAGGCGGGCCGUUUCAGCGGCUGGCUGCUGGAUUUCACCCGCGUGUCUGCGCAGCUGGAUUGCGGGCUCUGGGGUCCCGGCGACAAGAGCCCCGCAGGUGGGCUGAACUGGCUGACCCCUCUGUCGGGUUGUGAACUUGGGGGGACGAUACAGCUGCACGCCGGGGUACUGCGGGCCAGAGCGGAGGUGUUGCAUCCAGGUGACCAUAUACCGCCCAUCUCCCACUACCAACCCAAUGCUCCGAAACCCCGAAUGCCCCACCCGACGUUUCCCGGAUCUCUUCCGGCAGCCCAUCCAUAUCCGCGGUGUUCGUAGGCCCCGCGGUGUUCCUAGCCUAGGUCCCGUGGGCCACUCCGCUAUUUUUGUUACUGAAACCAAAACUUAUUACUGCAGGUGGUAGCGACCAGGGUAGCUGGACCAGGCAGCGCCAUCCCGCCUUUGCCCUGGGCGACACCGGCGCCUGGCACGCGCUGUCGCUGUCGAUCUGCCAGCAGCUACUGGGCCCGCUUCGCUUGGCUGCGGACUGGCGGUACCAGCUGGCAUCGAGUAGGCCGCUGACGUUGCCGCCGCCGCCGCCGGGCCCCCAGAGAACCCCGGUUGCAUCAGCGCCGACGUCGAUGCGCGCAACCACCCCCGGUGCAGCCGCAGCUGCGGCGGCGGCGGCAGCAGGGACCUGGCUUGGCGACGCUGCGGGUGCUGUGGCGGCUCAUACUGUGGGGAUGCGGCCGCAGCUGUUGGAAGCGGUGUAUGCACUGGACCUGUCAGUACCGGGCACGAGGGGGGCCGCCCGUGUGGUGGCCUGGUACUCGCCGCAGCGGCGCGAGGGCAUGGUCGAGCUGCGCAUGUUUUAACGGGGGGUUAGGGCGUGUGGCCGCAGAGGGGCGUGACUCGGUGUGCACCUGUGUGCGUCUACUUACGUAGGUGCUGUAGCUAGGCCAACACCACCACGAGGAUAAGAGAGGCCCGCGGAUAGGCGAGUCAGAGUGGUGUUCACCCCGAGCGCGUGCUCGUGCGCGUGUGUGCGUGCAUGUGCGCGGCAUGAAAGAAGGGGAUCUUUCUUGACGACAGCAUCAGCGGUGCGGCGUAUACAGCACCGGCGGCGCCGUGUGUUUGUGUCAGCCGGUGCUCCAUGUCUGGAUUUAUGAAGGCAAGGUGUGAGGUCGCAUGUAGCGCUGGGCUGAGGCCGCUCCCGGGGUUGCGGACCAGCCGUGGGGCCCUCCCUUGAGAACGCAGCUGUGCGUGCUGUGGAGGGCGGUGAGGGACGCUUGCUUCUGUUCCUCUCUCCUGCCACUCUUUAGCUCCAAGAAGCUUGCUCUUCGUCACACUAUAUUCAAAUGGCUCGCUUUGAUUGUUUGGUAUUGACGCCAUGUGGCACGUAAACUGCGCUGAUUGCACUUUUGAGUUGAAACAGAGCCAGCUGUUGUUCGAAUUCGGAGGAUCAGGGACCUUUGUUAGGUGUCUAAGGGGCAGUUGCAGUGUGGUUACAAGACACGCAGCUUGCACUGGGGUUAACGAUACAAAACCAUCUUCGGUUGCUUCUGGGCAGGCCCCCGCAGAAGCAGGGAGAUGGGCAACUUGGCGCAGCGGAAUGAGCGGAAUGAGUAAGGAGUGCGAGCGCUGCUGCCGCACCUUGCCGUGUUGAUGUUGGCUUCUGGACGCCCCUUCCACAUUCUGACAGCAAAAGGACAGACAACCUGACAGGAAGUAGGUUAUGGUGUAGGUCAUGCGCUGUAGGACCGCAGUAUACUUCCGGGCCCUAGGCGGGAAAGGCAAAGGCCUCUAGGAGGGGAUGGGCAGUUGGUUUCCUAUAUCUUGCGUGGUUCUUUCUUCCUUACCGUUCGAUUCCUGUAGGGACUCUUGCAGCAAUUUUAGACUCCAUCGCUGCUUUUGCGCCUCUACUGUACAUGUGACGGUGGCAGUGGUGUAUGGGGCUCUCAACAACUGCCAGACCUAACGGAAGGUUGUACCGGCAGCGGUCGUCGGUAGUUUACCUGCCACAGCCUUUGAAUGUAAUUAAUGCCGUUACGGAGUGUUGCAUGCUCCCCUCUGAUUGGGCACUUUUAUGCAUCUUACGUGGCGACGUCUCUUGUCCACUUGUGCGCCUGUUGCGACGUGUGUCGCUACUAGUAAGCGGACUGCGAGCAGUAUGUAUACGAGUUAGUGGCAGGUCAAUGAAUAGCUGUUUACCUUUGAUGAAAGAUAACUUCAGUUUGUUUAAGUAGGAGUAACUUUAACAACAAUCAUCGUCGGCCAUCACCGACACAUCGUUGCGACAGUCGACAGACAGCGCCGUCUUACGCAGCCUAAUAGCACAUAGAUAAUGUCGGGAGCGCAAGGCUCCCGCGGCGCUUUAAUCUUUAGGCAGUUUUCGCACCUCACGGCAGAAUGCGCGUCUUCGUCCGCUACGCAGUCAAGUGUCGCGACGGUCUCUAAUCCAGCGCAUCUUCCAUGGCAACUACUAGAUGUCGCUGCGCCGCUGAUGGCAUCUGGACCUACAUCCGGGGUCGGCGUGGCUUCCACGCUGCGAGCGAUGGGGGCAUCUUCAGGCCGAUUUUGCGCAUCGCUGUUAAGACCACCAGCUUCCUUGACUUUCCGUGGAAUCGCCACUAAGGCAGCGGCCAGCGUGGGUAGCUGUGCGGCCGCGUCGAACAGGACUCCCAUGCGACAGGGAAUGCUCUUAGCGGCGGGUGUACUGUCCAAGCGGGGUAGUGCAGCGGCGGCAGCGGUGAGACCCUGUAUGAGAAGGUGUGAUUUGUGUGCAUGAGGUCGUGUCGUCUCGCGGCUUCCUGUCAGAAAGCCUCGCACCUUAUCCCAUGUCCUCCGCGGCCCCCAUUGCUGCCUCAGGCAUUCCCCCCGCAAUUGCUGAACCCCCCAACCCCUCCAUCCCUCGCCUCCCUCCCCAUGUCACACGCCGCCCCAACCUUCCCACAAUCCAUGCGCCACUAAGGCAUAUGCCACAGCAGCAGCGGAAGGCGCCGCUGCUGCGGCUAGCGCCGGUGCAGUAGCGGCCGGGCGGCGGUUGUACGGCGGCUUAGCGCUGAGCGAGGGUCUCUCCUCCGGAGCCCGUCUUGCGCUGGCUGGCUGGCUGGGUGUGUGCUCGAUUUGGGUUUACAGCAUGGUGGUGCUGGGGGGCAUCACUCGUCUGACCCGGUCUGGGCUAUCCAUGACGGAAUGGAAGCUUGCAGGUGGGGUCCCUGUGGGUGGGUGGGGGGAAGGCGCGAGGGAGAGAUGGGGGGUGAGGGCCCUUCAGGCGUUUGCCGUUUGGAGGUUGUUCGCGAUAUCCCUCCGUGCAAAUGUACACUCGCACGGGGAGCUGGGGCUGCGUUGCAGCGUGAUGUUGUAACUUGAUUCCGGAGGGCGGGCGGCGCCGGCGGGCCGGCAUGGCACGUACUUAGGGUUUGCUUGGGCACGUGUUUGAUCAAUCAUUUGGGCUCUUGAUUCUUAAGCUGCUGGCACACAGUUGAUUGUACAGCAUGGCUUCCGAAAAGGCUUAGAUGGCGGUGGUGGAGGUGGAGGUGAUGGUGCGGAGUUGGCUGUGUUAUUGGGCGUUAGCAGAUGAGGGAAUGUGUAGGUGGUCUAACAGAGGUACUGCCGGCUGUUUUCGUGCCCCUAUCGACAGGGUGAAGUAAGAGCGGUUUAGCAGCGUACUGUUUGACUGCCGAGAAGUUGAAAUAAUUAUCGGAUUUCAUCUGGGUCAUAUCUGGUUUGGGUCAGAUUUGGUCUAUCCAAUUCACUCGGACCAAGAUAUGGUGUCAAUGAAAAAUAAUCUGGGUCAAAAUUGAUCUGGGUCAAACCAGAUCUUGGUCAGACUUGAUUUCAGCAAAGGACGUGAUGUGGGUUAAACUUUAUCUAGUUCAUGCUUAACGUGGCCCGAGUUAAUCUGGGUCAGAUUUGAUCUGGACCGGUGAGAUUUCAGCACCCGAACAGAAACUGAACCCGUCGAGUUCUUACCGGAACAUCCUGGCAAUCUUGGAUGUUGGAUGUUGGGAGGGAGACGACGUAGGGGGAUAGCAUUUGUGGACCCGCUGCUGUUGUUGUUGUUGCUGUUGCUGCUGCUGCUGCUGGUGGAACUCUGCUGGAAUGGGUUGGGGCGGGGUAUGGGGGAAGGGGGGAUUCGGUGGUAGUGGAGUGGCCUCAUCGAGUGUGCGCGCGACCCCCGGCACAGGUCCCCCCCCUCCUUACCAUGCACUUAUGCGAAUCCUACCCUGCCUUACCUCCCUGCAAAUCCCCCUUUCCUGGUAUCCCUCUUAAGACUGAGCCUGUAACCCCCUCCUUCACACCCUCAAAAUCCCCAAAGGCGAGAGGCCCCCCUGGACUGAAGAGGAGUGGGCAGCGGAGUUUGCCAAGUACAAAGCCAGUCCCGAAUUCCAGAAAGUGAGGAGGGCGUGCGGGUCUUGGCUUUUGGGUUAUGGGCGGAGGUGAGGAGGUGUAGGGAUGUGAUCAGGGAGGAUAUUGAAGGUGGACAAGAUCGCCGUCUGUAAACCCGUGAGGUGGAAGCCCCGUAGGAUUACCUACGGUCUUUGUGCAUAGUUAUUACUUCACUCGUUCAUGGUCGCUAUUUGCUUUGUUUGUUGCGUUUAUUGUGGUGAGAAGGUCAUGGAAUGUAUGAUGUUGCUGGACCGUUCCAGCCAGCCUUUCUGUAACUCCUUAAACCAUUCAAAACGCCCGCCCAACUACCAUCCACCAACGGUCAACUAACCUUACCCUCAGGUGCACCGUGGCAUGACCCUGAACGAGUUUAAAUUCAUUUACUGGAUGGAGUACGCCCACCGGUGAGUACCGUUGGCGGUUGGUGGUCGUUAUUGUGGUUACUGCUCCGCUCCAUGAAGGGCGCCAAGCCGGAUGUGCAUGGGUGCGUGCCUUGGGGUGGCGAUCCGCAAUGGGAGACCUCCCCCCUUCCUCUCCCCCCUCUAUGUCGGAAGGGGGGAAACAGGCUGCAAGUUCCGCACAAGUGCGGGGGGGCGUCCGUAAAACCCGGUGGGGGCCCAUGGACGGUUGUUGAGGUCUAAGAAUAUCCGCCUCUCCGCGUGUUGACGAUAUCUUUUCGCAGCAUGUGGGGUCGUCUGCUUGGCCUGGCCUUCGCACUGCCCGCCGCGUACUUCCUAGCGCGAGGCUGGGUGACCCGAGCACUGGGUCGGCGGCUGGGCCUGCUGUUCUUCAUGGGGGGAACUCAGGGCCUGGUGGGCUGGUGGAUGGUGCGGAGCGGCCUGGAGGUACGUGCGGGUUUGUGGGUUUGGUCUUUCCCCUUCGUCCCCCCCCCUGGGUUUCUUCCCCCUCAGCGUUCCCCCAUGCCGAUGCUUGGGUCAGUGGCUUUAUCGCUUUGGACUCACUAGGUAGAUUCAACCUUUGGACGGCGGCGUUGUUUCCUUGUUUCCUUGCAUAAGUUCUUCCCCCAUGCCGAUCACCCGGGCCUUACCUGUCGAUCGCUUUCUGUCCCUCCCCGCUGGUCAUUAUCUGCGGCAUGUGCACCAGGAGUUCUCCUUCAUUACCUCUUGAGCCCCGUCGCCUCCACCGCGACCCCCACUCGCACCCCCACUCGCACCCCAGACGACGGACUCCCCAACGGCCCCUUCCCGACGGCUGCACUCCCAAACGAAGCCCCAAUGCCUACUGCCAAACUAUGUCCCUUCCUUACCACACCGCCACCUUCUUCCGCUCCAGGGGCCCCCGCAAACCCCACACGCUCCAUCUCACCCCUGCCUGAUGUCCCCCUCCGGCCCAUCAUACAGUCAGUACUUGAUCCUCCCCUGCGUUUCUUGCACAUGACCCCUACCCCCUCCCCUACCCCCUCCCCUACCCGCUCCCCUACCCCCUCCCCUACCCGCUCCCCUACCCGCUCCCCUAACCCCUUCAGGAGCCUGAGCACGAGUGGGCUGCCCCCCGCGUGUCCCCCUACCGCCUGGCCGCACACCUGGUGUCGGCAUUCGCCAUAUACGCCACGUUGGUGUGGACCACACUGGGUGAGCGAGAGGGGGAGGGAGGGAGAGGGGGGGGGAGGUGCAGAUGGCUGGGGAGGGGGCAGGGCUAUCGGGGGGAGGAGGAGGGGGGAGGUGAUGUUCCUAUCCUAAGGGGUGGGGGUGGAUGGGGGGAAAUCUUCCCAGGUGAAUGGGGAAGGGGCCGGGUGAAGAGUGUUUCUUUCCGGUUCUUUCACAUCAUGUUCAUUUCUCCGCUUCCCUUUCCCGCACUACAUUCUCCGUCCCUCGCCGUACAUACCCCCCGCCAGAUUUGCUGUACCCGCAGCCCGCUACCCUAGGUGCCCCCGAGGGGCUGUUGCGCACCACUGCCGCCGCCCGCCGGGUGCUACUGCCCCUGGCAGCGCUCAUCGCCGUGACAGCUACAUCCGGGGCCUUCGUGGCGGGUAGGUGGAUGGGCGGGCUGGGGGUAGAUGGCGGAGAUGCUGAGGUUGUACUGAAAAGCUGAGGAAUGAGAGAGGGGAUGUUUUUGGAAGGCUGCAAGCUCGCGUAUCCAUUACUCUUCCACCUUUUUGCCCGUCGUCAUCACGACGGUGUAUUACCCUCGCGUGCGCAUUUCAACGCCGCGCAACCGCCCCUCUCCCUUCCACGAGCAGGCAUGGACGCGGGUCGUGCCUACAACACGUAUCCGCUCAUGGGUGGGCGCCUGGUUCCUGAGGAGUACUGGGACGAGCGACUGGGGCUGACACCGCUCCGGAACCUGUUUGAGAACACCGCCGCGGUGCAGUUCAACCACCGGUGAGGCGCUGUCAGGGAGGGGUCGGGGUACGGGGAAGGGGGUAGGAGGAAGGGGUAGGGGGUCGGGGUAGGGGGAAGGGGUCGGGGGUAGUGGGAAGGGGGAAGGGGGAGGGGGAGAGGGGGAUACGCAUGUUUUGGCCCCUCUCGGGGUAUGUCCGGUCACUCAACUGUAGCCGAUUCGUAUUCCCUCCUCCUGACCCGAACCCCUCACCCGCCCUAUGCCUCUGGGAUUCCGUCCUUGGAUGUGCUGCUGCCACUUCCGCCUCCAGCUCUCCACACCGAGGUUGCCUCAUCCUUUGUUUUCGUCAACCCCCUCCCUCCCUUCCCCCCUACCCCCCUAUUAUCUUCUCGCCACCUCCCGCGUCCCCGCCCUUGCUUACCGCAGUUGCCUGGCCACCGCUACGCUGCUGGCUGUGGGAGCUGUCUGGCUGGGUCACAAGGGGCGAGACCACCUGCCGGGUCGGGCCACCCGCUGCCUGCAUGCAGUGGCGGCGAUCACGGCGGCGCAGGUGGGGGCUGGGCGAGGGGUGGAAGUCGUGUGCGAGAAAGUGGGAAGUGGACUGUGCCGAUGUCCAAGGUCCAAAGCGGCUGGGCGAAGGGUGGACGAGGAGACGGUGUAGGUUGUUUUAUUCUUCCCUUGAGACAACCCUUCUUCCCGUACGCUCCGCCGUAAAGCUCCGUUCAGCCCCCUUCCCCAUUUGGGUGUUUUGCUGUUCGUCGACGUUUCGGUAUUAUAUUCCUUCUAAGCCCCGUCGGCCCUUCCUCACCCCCGGGGUGCAGUUCGCGCUGGGUAUCUACACGCUGCUGCAGUACGUGCCCGUGGCCUUAGGGAGCGCCCACCAGGCCAAUGCCCUUAACCUUUUCACGGCGGCGCUGGCGCUGCUGCACGCCUGCCGUCCGCCGGCGCCCCCAUCGACGGGCCUGGCGGCGGCGGCGGCGCCCCUGGUGACGCCCGUUUCGGUGCUGGCAGUGGCCUGCAUCGGGUACAUGGUGGCGACCCAGAAUGGCACCCUCACGCAGAGCGCUGCGUACACGGGGCCGAGGUCCGUGACGGCACCGGCGUCAUCGAUUGCUGCGGCCUCGAAUGGGAGCAAGUAGUAGGGUGGGUAUGUAUAUGGACAUGCAACUUCGGGGGGUAUGCUGCCGCAGCAGCGGCUGCUUGGGGGAAGGGGGCCAGGGGCAUGCGGCGCGGUUGGGGGGGUGUAGCUGCGAAAGGGGGUGUAGCUGGUGGCGCGGGCUGAGGGUGUGCGUGCGCGCGAAGAGUGCGGUUUGCAGUGACGUAAGUUGUCAGCUGGUGUAGCUGGCAAUGAUGGUAUAGUGGUGGUGAUGAUGGUGCUGAAGGUAGGUAGCAGUGAUCAUGAAAGUUGAGGUACGAGCUUGCGGUAUAUCUGCGUGUAGAUGGCUCGUGUCCGCUGGUUAAGGGUUCGGCGUAGGCGGUCAGGUGCUGUGGCCGCGGCGAGGGCCCCUACGCCAUGCGAGGCGACGGCGUGUCUGUAUGCAGAAAACUGCUGACCCACGAAGCUUGCUACCUGAAAGAAUAUCCCUUGCUAUAAGGCGUUACGUACAUACUACCCAGCCAUAGAGUGACGGAACUGCUCGCGGCCCGAAUGCUACUGUGGGUGUUUGGAGUCGUGGCGGAGUGUGCGAGGUCUCUUGAGGGGGGUUGGCAACGUUUUGCGGAUGGGUUGUACCGGGGUUGGGUCUUUUAGGGUAGGACUGGCGGAUUGGCAAAAACGCCAACAUCUUUUCUCCUUUUGGUAGGUAAUCUGUGCUCCCAUAGUCUGGUGUCCCAUCGUUCACCGGUAGCGCGUGGGAUGGGAUGAACAUGCUCCGAUUGUAACUGGGGAAUAUCCACGACCUAUACGGGCCUAUCGUAGGAAUUUCCUUGCUCCAAAACUCGCGUGCAGUCGCCUGUUGGGCACCGAUCCAAACGCGGAACCCUUACCAGCAACAUUCUUGCUGGGGUAGUUACCACAAUGCCGUGCAUGCGUGUACCAUGCGGUACUCACUGCUAGUGACUGGAGGAUGCGCGUGUCUAAGGUCAAAACCACAGUCGGCCAGCAACACGCGGCGAUUUGAAGGUCGGGUUGUCCCGUUGGCCAAGUGGAAACAGCUG
Molecule: long non-coding RNA, 13777 nt
Filed under: Volvox carteri
Lineage: Eukaryota; Viridiplantae; Chlorophyta; Chlorophyceae; Chlamydomonadales; Volvocaceae
Description: long non-coding RNA (VCAR_LNC002067)
Source: RNAcentral